Orbicella faveolata is the source of this 255-nucleotide long non-coding RNA. NCBI's taxonomy places the organism in Eukaryota, Metazoa, Cnidaria, Anthozoa, Scleractinia, Merulinidae. The record is from RefSeq and is a predicted model, not a curated record.
UGGAAUCAAACGAGAGCAGUAACACACAAAAUUCCGAUCUGAGGAGAGAAAAUGAACAACACAUUUCGGAAAAAAGGAAGAAAGCAGAUUUGUUUAAGCACUAUAAGAAAAAACUGGCAGAAAAAGAUGGGAGGAUUAUGCAGCUGGAAAGCGAGCUGAAAGGAAAAACACUGGAAUUAGAGAAGUAAGUUUAAAAGCGUUUGUAAUCAAGAUGGAAAAUAAGUGUGUAAAUAUUACUCAUUGUAAAACUGCGAG